This 405-nucleotide ribosomal RNA is filed under the name uncultured bacterium. Its description in RNAcentral is "partial 16S ribosomal RNA". It matches the Rfam family "Bacterial small subunit ribosomal RNA", at positions 30 to 526 of the family's 1533-position model. The record is from RNAcentral.
AUUGAACGCUAGCGGGAUGCUUUACACAUGCAAGUCGAACGAGUGGCGGACGGGUGAGUAAUAUAUCGGAACGUGCCCAGUAGGGGGGGAUAACUACUCGAAAGAGUGGCUAAUACCGCAUACUAUUGGAGCGGCAGAUAGGGUAUUAGCUAGUUGGUGGGGUAAAGGCUCACCAAGGCAAAUAUCCGUAGUUGGUCUGAGAGGACGACCAGCCACACUGGGACUGAGACACGGCCCAGACUCCUACGGGAGGCAGCAGUGGGGAAUUUUGGACAAUGGGUGAAACCCUGAUCCAGCCAUCCCGCGUGUAUGAGAAGGCCUGCGGGUUGUAAAGUACUUUUGGCAGAGAGGCGGUAUCUGCAGAAUAAGCACCGGCUAACUACGUGCCAGCCGCCGCGGUAAUAC